RNAcentral lists this ribosomal RNA (562 nucleotides) under uncultured bacterium. RNAcentral describes it as "bacterial SSU rRNA". It matches the Rfam family "Bacterial small subunit ribosomal RNA", at positions 44 to 598 of the family's 1533-position model. The record is from RNAcentral.
CCGCUCUACUUUGCAAGUCGACCGGGCGAGGUUGCUUCGGUAACUGAGCUAGCGGCGGACGGGUGAGUAAUGCUUAGGAAUCUGCACUAUUAGUGGGGGACAACAUUCCGAAAGGAAUGCUAAUACCGCAUACGCCCUACGGGGGAAAGCAGGGGAUCUUCGGACCUUGCGCUAAUAGAUGAGCCUAAGUCACGAUUAGCCAGUUGGUGGGGUAAAGGCCUACCAAGGCGACGAUCUGUAGCGGGUCUGAGAGGAUGAUCCGCCACACUGGGACUGAGACACGGCCCAGACUCCUACGGGAGGCAGCAGUGGGGAAUAUUGGACAAUGGGCGCAAGCCUGAUCCAGCCAUGCCGCGUGUGUGAAGAAGGCCUUUUGGUUGUAAAGCACUUUAAGCGAGGAGGAGGCUACUUGGAUUAAUACUCUAGGAUAGUGGACGUUACUCGCAGAAUAAGCACCGGCUAACUCUGUGCCAGCAGCCGCGGUAAUACAGAGGGUGCGAGCGUUAAUCGGAUUUACUGGCCGUAAAGCCGUGCGUAGGCCGCUUUUAAAGUCGGAUGUGAA